RNAcentral lists this long non-coding RNA (389 nucleotides) under Gallus gallus (chicken). Lineage: Eukaryota; Metazoa; Chordata; Aves; Galliformes; Phasianidae. The record is from RNAcentral.
UGGAGAACUCUGCUUACCUGAGGCCUUCUGUGGAAUCUACACCAAAACAGAACAGGAAAGAUGCAUCUACUGCAGAGUAUUUUACUGUCCAGCGUUCUACAGGUUGUUGUCAGCAUUUGCAAAAAGCACAAGCAACUACAAAGAUCAAGAUUAGCAGAAAAUAAAAACAGGAGACUUUGUACAAAAGGAAAAUUCGGAGAUGAAUUCAGUGAUGAGUCUGCUAGAGUUUAAGGAGUCAAUUUAAGGAGGUUAAGAUGUUAGAGAAGCAAAGCAUAUGGGCAGUGCUGGAUGGACUUACACAUCUACCUUCUUUACAUCAAAACUGUCAUUACGUUAUCACUGAAAUGGUUGACAAGAACUGCCAAAACAUGGCCUAUGCUUGUGACAUG